Juglans regia (Persian walnut) is the source of this 2952-nucleotide RNA transcript. It is a transcript of the gene named zinc finger CCCH domain-containing protein 55-like, with no coding region annotated. The record is from RefSeq and is a predicted model, not a curated record. NCBI's taxonomy places the organism in Eukaryota, Viridiplantae, Streptophyta, Magnoliopsida, Fagales, Juglandaceae. The transcript is spliced from 9 exons.
AAACACAUGAAUAUGUAUUGUAUGUAUUAUGUGCUGCUCGUGCUUACAGAUCUGAACUCUUACCACUCUCUGCCUCCUCAAGAGAGAUUGCAGAUACAGAAACCAAGAGAGGGAGAGGGGGAGAGGCAGUCUGUGAGAGUAAAGAGUGAAUAGUGAGAGAGUGCUGUUAGCAGUACUCAGUACCGCCUUUGCAAGCCCGCUUGUUAUAUUUCAAACCCAACUGAUUCCAAGCGAGAGAGAGAAGGGGUACCUCAAACCUUCACAAUCCUUUGUUUCUUGCUUGCUUCUGUUUUUUCUCUCCUAGAAGUAAAAACCCAAGAAGCAAUGGAUCCUUUUGAAGCCACAAACGUAGUAUUCUCAAAGAUAAAAUUUUUGGAGCCAGAGAAUGCGUCAAAGAUCAUGGGGUACCUUCUGAUACAGGACCUUGGAGAGAACGAUUUGAUACGCUUGGCACUUGGGUCAGAGACAUAUCUGCAGGCACUCAUCUUCAAAGCCAAAACCCAGUUGGGUCUUCCCUCGAAUAUUAUUUCUACACCCCUUACACCUUCCUCCCCUUCGCCUCUCAAUCCCAUAGCCAGACCAACCAACGCCAACCCUUUUUCACGCUCCUCACCUAGACUCCCCAAUGGCUUUGACUUUCAUAAAAACCCAUCUACUGCCUCCUCAAAUUCUUGGCUACUCUCUGGGUUCCCAAACAAGCCCAUUAGCCCAAAGUCAAGUCCUUUGCUAACCUACGAUAAUAUCCGCGCCGGGUCGCUUGCUUCACGUUCAUUCCCAUAUAGCAAGAAUGGCUUUGAGAACGGUAGUGGCACUAACACUGACCUCAUUGACGAGCACCACCUCAACGAGUACCUCUCCUUCCUCAACGACUCUUCAUCUUCAUCCAGGACCGAAGAUUUGCUCGAUCCAGGAUUCGAAUUUGGUCAUGAAGUACACAAUUGGGCACAUUCUGCCAAUCAUGGAGAAACCCAUCUUCACAGAAGGAGCUAUUCGGCUAGCGAAGCGUGUUUUGCGUCAGAAGAACCUGGCUUGGAAUCUGGGUACAAACCCUGCCUUUACUUUGCCAGAGGGUUUUGCAAAAAUGGCAGCAAUUGCAAGUUUGUGCACGGCGGGUUUGUUGAUUCGGUUGAUAUUCCUUCGGGUCCCAUUGUGGGUUGCCCGAGUAAGUUCGAGGAGUUGGAACUGCAGGAGGAGAUGAUGAGAUUGAAGGCUGCGCAGCAGCAAAGAUUGGCUGCGCAGCAGUUCAUGGCUGGAGUAUCACCGUCACAGUCAGCGUACAACAAGUACAUGAAUUUUCUCUUGCAGCAGCAGACCGAACCCCAGAGAGCGGUGGCAGCUCCGACAGCAUUUAUGAUGGGGGAAGAUUUUUUCAAGUUUGGCCGCUGCCGGCCAGAGAGGAAUGACUUUUUGGCAAUGGCAUCUACAGAAAAGUUGAAUUCGGCUUCGAGGCAGAUCUACUUGACCUUUCCAGCGGACAGCACUUUUAAAGACGAAGAUGUUUCCGAGUACUUCAGCAAUUUUGGACCAGUCCAAGAUGUGAGGAUUCCAUACCAGCAGAAGCGAAUGUUUGGGUUUGUUACAUUUAUCUACUCAGAAACUGUGAAACUCAUUUUGGCCAAAGGGAAUCCUCAUUUUAUAUGUGAUUCACGUGUGCUUGUCAAGCCCUACAAGGAGAAGGGAAAAUUUCCGGACAAAAGGCAACAACAGCAACUGGAGAGGGGAGAGUUUUCACCUUGUUCAAGUCCCUCUGGGCUCGACUCUAGAGAAUCCUAUGAUCUACCCCAUGCACCUAGAAUGUUUUAUAAUACGCAAGAAAUGAUAUUGAGUAGAAAAUUAGAGGAGCAGACUGAACUACAGCAAGCAAUUGAACUUCAAGGAAGAAGACUGAUAAAUUUGCAGCUUCCGGACUUGGAUGAACGUAUACACCACCACCAGCGCAGUCUGUCUGUUGGUUCUCCUGUUCUCUUAACUGCUCAGCUUCAUGCUAAUGUCAAUCAAAGUGUCAUCCUCCCAUCUGUUGGAACCAAACAAGAUGUUGCACAAGGUCACAGUGACAAUUCUGCUGCAGCUGCUGAACAUCUGCUUUUGCAGGAAGCGAAUCCAGCUUGUAUUCACAAUAAUCACAAUGCCAACAGCAAGGAGGACAUCUUCCAUGCUGAAGAGUUUGAUCUCCAGAAAAGUGUAGAGCAGGUACUUCCCGAUAGCCUUUUGCCUUCUCCUACCAAAUCAGUAGGGGAUAAUCUCUGUGUCAUUUCUGCUGCUGUGUUGGAGGUUAAUGAGAGCUCCGCAUUCUCCACUACUCUGUAUUCUUCUGGAAAAGAUUUAUCACUCAGCAAUUCAACUAAUGACAAAGCUUCCAAAUAAUAUCGAAAUGCCAAGCCUUUGUAAUAAACGUGAGCAUGGCUAAACGGACUGACUUUCGGAAAUCAUAGAGAAGCUUAUAAAAGGGCGAAAAAUCCUUCAAAAAAUAUAGGAGAUUAUACCUACAUCAAAGAGUAGAUCCAUAGAGAAGAUAUGAACGAGUACAUCACCAUCAUCGGCAAUACAUACUACUACUAACAGCAAAUACAUAUUCCAUACAUCAGGACAGAUGAUUCUGAGUAGAGAAGGGUGUUUCUCUUCUACCGCCGUAACGACGCUGUAUGUGUUUCUGGACCACACUGACUGGAGCAGUACAAAGGAUUGUAACUUCUAUCACACUGUCAGCUACACAUUUUCUUUCUUUUUACCCUAUUUAUGUUGGGAGAUGUGGUUCAGUAGAAUUGGACUUUAUGCCAGAGGAUUAGACAAGACAAAUAUGUACAGGCUACUGUGUUAGCAAACAAAGGAAGUUUAGAGGAAAAUGACUUCCCAUCCACGCUUAUAUUUUUUUAAUUUUCCCUUUCUGAGCAGUAGAUAAUCAAACUAGUAGAACACGACAAAUAAGAGUAAAAAUUCCCUUCAUUGUUAUCA